This is a non-coding RNA of Megaselia scalaris, 165 nucleotides long. Lineage: Eukaryota; Metazoa; Arthropoda; Insecta; Diptera; Phoridae. The record is from Rfam.
AUACUUACCUGGCUUAGGGGUUAACCGUGAUCACGAAGGCGGUUCCCCCAGGGCGAGACUUGGCCAUUGCACUAGGGCUAGGUUGACCUCUGCGAUUAUUCCUAAUGUGAAUAACUCGUUAGCGCAAUUUUUGUUAGCCGGGAAUGGCGUUCGCGCCGUCCCGAU